This 225-nucleotide long non-coding RNA is filed under the name Linum usitatissimum (flax). Its description in RNAcentral is "long non-coding RNA (LUSI_LNC001105)". The record is from RNAcentral. Lineage: Eukaryota; Viridiplantae; Streptophyta; Magnoliopsida; Malpighiales; Linaceae.
UCCAUGCUCCGAUGUAAUGUGCCCAACCAUGUCCAUAGAUAUCGUUAGGCCACAAACAGGACACAUCUGAAAAAACAAAAAAAAAAAGGAGUAAAGUAUUCAUCGUCAGGGAUUGCAAAGCAACAUCAUGGAUCAAUACUAGAAGUCUAGAAUCAAGGAGCUUGGUUGCACUACAACUCAUGUUAACAAAAUCGAGGUCCACAGAUACGAAAACUAAUCUUUUCG